AGCGAACGCUGGCGGCAUGCCUAACACAUGCAAGUCGCACGGGGGGGCUUCGGCCUCCCAGUGGCGGACGGGUGAGGAACGCGUAGGGACCUGUCGAGGGGUGGGGGAUAACCGCGGGAAACUGCGGCUAAUACCGCAUGACGCCGCGGCGUGGCAGCCGGGGCCAAAGGCGAAAGCCGCCCGCCGAGGGGCCUGCGUCCGAUUAGCUGGUUGGCGGGGUAGCGGCCCACCAAGGCGUCGAUCGGUAGCUGGUCUGAGAGGGUGAUCAGCCACACCGGGACUGAGACACGGCCCGGACUCCUACGGGAGGCAGCAGUGGGGAAUAUUGGACAAUGGGCGCAAGCCUGAUCCAGCAAUGCCGCGUGGGUGAAGAAGGUCUUCGGAUUGUAAAGCCCUUUCGGCGGGGACGAUGGUGACGGUACCCGCAGAAGAAGCCCCGGCUAACUUCGUG
This 451-nucleotide ribosomal RNA is filed under the name uncultured bacterium. RNAcentral's name for it is "partial 16S ribosomal RNA". It matches the Rfam family "Bacterial small subunit ribosomal RNA", at positions 28 to 507 of the family's 1533-position model. The record is from RNAcentral.